CGGGAAAAUGCCUGAUCCUUACAACUCACAUAUAAAAGACUUCAUCAGAGGAAGAACUUAAAUAUCAUUCUCUCUUUAGUAACCAACACAAGAUUGUCCUAAGAAGAAAAAGAUGAUCAAAGAGUAUGCAGGGUUAGGUGCAGUGGCUUAUGCCUGCAAUCUCACACUUUGGGAGGCCAAGGUGGGAGAACUGCUUGAGCCCAGGAAUUUGAGACCAGCUUGGGCAACACAGCUAGACCUCGUCUCCAUAGAAAGUAAAAAAAUUAGCCGGGUAUAGCGGCAUGCACCUGUGGUCCCAGCUACUCAGAAGGUUGAGGCAGGACAAUCCUUUGAACCCAAGAGGUUGAGGCUGCAGUGAGCUAUGCUUGUACCACUGCCCUCCAGCCUGGAUGACACAGCAAGACCAUGUCCCCCAAGAAGAAAAUAAAUAAAUAAAUAAACAAACAAACUAACCAGAGUAUGUAGGUUAAAAAAAAGAAAAAAAAAGAUGGGAAAGGUAUCAUAAAGGUGCCAGGAAGUUAAUAAAAAUACUUUUCAGUAUUUUGUAGAGUGUUAUGCUGUUUUAAAUAUUGUAAUUUAUGCCUCUAAAAAUUCCAAAUAAAUAUAUGCUUUCAUAGUUAACUCAGUAUUUGCAAUUCAUAUUCCUUUUCUUAAGAAGCACUACCCCCUUCCUCCCAAAUAAACAACUAUACAAGCUUCAGUUCUUAUUAAAUCUUAUCUGCCUUGGAUAGAAAUGAUUUUUAAAAGUAAUUAUGGUUUUAAGCCAAAGCCAUUGGCAGCCCUCUUUCCUUUUUUUUCCUACUAAAAUUAAAUUGGAAUCGUUCCACAUCUGCACUGUGUUGAAUACUGUUCCUCUAAAAUUCAUGUCCACUAGAACCUGUGGAUAUAACCUUAUUUGGAAAUACAGUCUUUGCAGAUGUAAUCAAGUUAAGAUGAGGUCAUCCUGGAUUAGGGUGGAAGUUAAAUCUAAUGACUGGUGUCCUUAUAUAAGGAAAGGGAUAUCUGGACACAGACACACAGAGGGAAGAAGGCCAUGUGACGAUGGACACGGAAACUGGAGUGAUGCAGCCGCUGGCCGAGGAAGGCCGAGGUCGGCCAGCAGCCACACCAGCUGGAGGAGAUGAAGGAGGAGUUUUCCUGGGGCCUUCAGAGAAAGCCCGGCCCUACUGGCACCUUGGCUUU
Molecule: long non-coding RNA, 1182 nt
Filed under: Homo sapiens (human)
Lineage: Eukaryota; Metazoa; Chordata; Mammalia; Primates; Hominidae
Description: HSALNT0036415
Source: RNAcentral